GGACUACGAGGGUAUCUAAUCCUGUUUGAUCCCCUUACUUUCGCGCCUCAGCGUCAGGUUUAAGCUAGAAAACCGCCUUCGCCACCGGUGUUCUUCCACAUAUCUACGCAUUUCACCGCUACUUGUGGAAUUCCGUUUUCUCCGCCUACCCUCUAGACAUGCAGUUUCAAAUGCUGUUCCGGGGUUGAGCCCCGGGAUUUCACAUCUGACUUACUUGUCCGCCUACGCGCCCUUUACGCCCAAUAAAUCCGAUUAAUGCUUGCACCCUCCGUAUUACCGCGGCUGCUGACAC
RNAcentral lists this unclassified non-coding RNA (292 nucleotides) under uncultured Parachlamydiaceae bacterium. RNAcentral describes it as "contains 16S-23S intergenic spacer region". The record is from RNAcentral. Lineage: Bacteria; Pseudomonadati; Chlamydiota; Chlamydiia; Parachlamydiales; Parachlamydiaceae.